RNAcentral lists this ribosomal RNA (653 nucleotides) under Flustrellidra hispida. RNAcentral describes it as "12S ribosomal RNA". The record is from RNAcentral. Lineage: Eukaryota; Metazoa; Bryozoa; Gymnolaemata; Ctenostomatida; Flustrellidridae.
UUAUUUUGGCUCUAAUAACCAGUCACAUGAACCAUAUGCCAGCGGGAGCAAUAGCAGUGGUUGAUUUUGGUAAAUGUACCCAGUUCCAGCUGAUGACAGGGGGAGGGCAACAACGUGCCAGCAACCGCGGUUAUACGUUGUCCCCGGUUAUUUUUAAAUAAGGCAGAGGCAAAAUUAGGAGUCCUAACGCGCUCAUGCCGUGCCCCCGCCACCCGAAAACUGAAUGGAAGACGGGGAUUAGAGACCCCCCUAUUCACAGAAGUAAACACAUUAUUUGGUUCUCUAAAAAAUUUGGCGGUUUUCUUUGACCAGGGGAGCUUGUUCCGUUAACGAUAACCCCCGUUUUACCCCCCGUAGAGUGAGUAUACCUCCGUCUAGUCGCCCUCGAAGAGAGGCGGCGUAACCGUUAGGCUAACGACAGGUCUAGGUGCUACACACCGGGGUUGGAAGUGAGCUACUGUUUUGAAUGUUUGUAUUUAGCGAACUGAAAAAGUACUUGGUAGUAAAGACUUAUGGCUUGAAAAAUAAAAAGAAAAUGCACACAUCGCCCGUCGAUCCUGUUUUGAAACAUGAAAAGUCGUAACAAAGUAGCGCUACUAGAAAGUGGUGCUGUCUGGGUUUUUGACAUUGCAAAUGUCACUCUCCCCCCCUAG